AUGGGCGCAAGACCUGAUGCAGCGACGCCGCGUGAGGGAUGGAGGCCUUCGGGUUGUAAACCUCUUUCGCCAGUGAAGCAGGCCUGUCCCUUUUGUGGGUGGGUUGACGGUAGCUGGAUAAGAAGCGCCGGCUAACUACGUGCCAGCAGCCGCGGUAAUACGUAGGGCGCGAGCGUUGUCCGGAAUUAUUGGGCGUAAAGAGCUCGUAGGCGGCUGGUCGCGUCUGUCGUGAAAUCCUCUGGCUUAACUGGGGGCUUGCGGUGGGUACGGGCCGGCUUGAGUGCGGUAGGGGAGACUGGAACUCCUGGUGUAGCGGUGGAAUGCGCAGAUAUCAGGAAGAACACCGGUGGCGAAGGCGGGUCUCUGGGCCGUUACUGACGCUGAGGAGCGAAAGCGUGGGGAGCGAACAGGAUUAGAUACCCUGGUAGUCCACGCCGUAAACGUUGGGCACUAGGUGUGGGGGGCCUUUUCCGGGUCUUCCGCGCCGUAGCUAACGCAUUAAGUGCCCCGCCUGGGGAGUACGGCCGCAAGGCUAAAACUCCAAAGGAAUUGACGGGGGCCCGCACAAGCGGCGGAG
RNAcentral lists this ribosomal RNA (577 nucleotides) under Actinomyces sp. oral taxon 175. RNAcentral's name for it is "bacterial SSU rRNA". It matches the Rfam family "Bacterial small subunit ribosomal RNA", at positions 371 to 937 of the family's 1533-position model. The record is from RNAcentral. Lineage: Bacteria; Bacillati; Actinomycetota; Actinomycetes; Actinomycetales; Actinomycetaceae.